Molecule: ribosomal RNA, 231 nt
Filed under: uncultured bacterium
Lineage: Bacteria
Description: partial 16S ribosomal RNA
Rfam family: Bacterial small subunit ribosomal RNA
Source: RNAcentral
CGGACGGGUGAGUAAUGUCUGGGAAACUGCCCGAUGGAGGGGGAUAACUACUGGAAACGGUAGCUAAUACCGCAUAACGUCGCAAGACCAAAGAGGGGACCUUCGGGCCUCUUGCCAUCGGAUGUGCCCAGAUGGGAUUAGCUAGUAGGCGGGGUAACGGCUCACCUAGGCGACGAUCCCUAGCUGGUCUGAGAGGAUGACCAGCCACACUGGAACUGAGACACGGUCCAG